GAUCAUGGCUCAGGACGAACGCUGGCGGCAUGCCUAACACAUGCAAGGUCGAACGGGGGUAGCAAUACCCUAGUGGCGAACGGGUGAGUAACACAUAAGCAAUCUGCCCUUCACAGGGGGAUAACAGCGGGAAACUGCUGCUAAUACCGCAUAAGACCACGGUACCGCAUGGUACAGGGGUAAAAACGAAUCAGUGGUGAAGGAUGAGCUUAUGUCCCAUUAGCUAGUUGGUGAGAUAACAGCCCACCAAGGCGACGAUGGGUAGCCGACCUGAGAGGGUGAUCGGCCACACUGGAACUGAGACACGGUCCAGACUCCUACGGGAGGCAGCAGUGGGGAAUAUUGGGCAAUGGAGGAAACUCUUACCCAGCAAUGCCGCGUGGGUGAAGAAGGUCUUCGGAUUGUAAAGCUCUUUGAUUGGGGACGAAGAAAGUGACGGUACCCAAAGAACAAGCCCCGGCUAACUACGUGCCAGCCGCCGC
RNAcentral lists this ribosomal RNA (482 nucleotides) under uncultured bacterium. Its description in RNAcentral is "bacterial SSU rRNA". It matches the Rfam family "Bacterial small subunit ribosomal RNA", at positions 15 to 518 of the family's 1533-position model. The record is from RNAcentral.